RNAcentral lists this ribosomal RNA (468 nucleotides) under uncultured bacterium. RNAcentral describes it as "partial 16S ribosomal RNA". It matches the Rfam family "Bacterial small subunit ribosomal RNA", at positions 28 to 507 of the family's 1533-position model. The record is from RNAcentral.
GACGAACGCUGGCGGCGUGCUUAACACAUGCAAGUCGAACGGAAAGGCCCUGCUUUCGUGGGGUGCUCGAGUGGCGAACGGGUGAGUAACACGUGAGUAACCUGCCCUUGACUUUGGGAUAACUUCAGGAAACUGGGGCUAAUACCGGAUAGGAGCUGCUGCUGCAUGGUGGGGGUUGGAAAGUUUCGGCUGUUGGGGAUGGACUCGCGGCUUAUCAGCUUGUUGGUGGGGGAGUGGCUUACCAAGGCUUUGACGGGUAGCCGGCCUGGGAGGGGGACCGGGCACAUGGGGACUGAGAUAGGGCCCAGACGGCUACGGGAGGCAGCGGUGGGGAAUAUUACACAAUGGGAGGAAGCCGGAUGCAGCAACGCCGGGUGCGGGAUGACGGCCUUCGGGGUGUAAACAGCUUUAGCCUGUGACGAAGCGUGAGUGACGGUAAUGGAUGAAGAAGCACCGGCUAACUACGUG